AUGCAUGGCAGGUCUUUAAAUUUACAAAAAUGAAACAUGUAUGUACAACACAAUUAAUUUAUGUUUCGGUUGUGAACAUGCUUUAAUCAAGUAGAUUUCACUUGUUCAUAAUGAAUGUUGUAUGUACACAUUUCUCUCACGUUAAUUGAAAGUGAUUGAAUCUAAAACUGAAAUCAAUCUAAUUGAGUUUUGACACAACCGGAGCAGAUGGUGGCGGUAUUGCAUCAUGGAGAGGGAUGACAAACUGCGUAAAAGGAGAAAUUGAAUCGAGCGCCAAAAACUUUGAAGAUUCAGCAGCUCGCCUAAUCUCAGACGACAACGAUUCAGUGGGAAGUCCAUCUUUGCGCACACACAAGCUUUAUAUGGGUAAGUAUUUUAAUUUACUUUUCUUUUACGGUUAAAUCUUUAUUUUUGUGACUAAGAUACACAUAAUUCAAAAUAUACAUUUUGUCAUUCCAAAUAAACCAGAAAUUUUAAAUGUAAAUUUUUUUUUU
Cyprinus carpio (common carp) is the source of this 494-nucleotide long non-coding RNA. The record is from Ensembl. Lineage: Eukaryota; Metazoa; Chordata; Actinopteri; Cypriniformes; Cyprinidae.